CUCGGGUCGUGAGAUUGUGGGUUAAAUNCCCCCAACGAGCGCAACCCUCGCUCUUAGUUGCCAUCAUUCAGUUGGGCACUCUAAGGGGACUGCCGGUGAUAAGCUGGAGGAAGGUGGGGAUGACGUCAAGUCCUCAUGGCCCUUACGGGCUGGGCUACACACGUGCUACAAUGGUGGUGACAGUGGGCAGCGAGACCGCGAGGUUGAGCUAAUCUCCAAAAACCAUCUCAGUUCGGAUUGCACUCUGCAACUCGGGUGCAUGAAGUUGGAAUCGCUAGUAAUCGUGGAUCAGCAUGCCACGGUGAAUACGUUCCCGGGCCUUGUACACACCGCCCGUCACACCAUGGGAGUUGGCUUUACCCGAAGGUGCUGUGUAACCGCAAGGAGGCA
Molecule: ribosomal RNA, 390 nt
Filed under: uncultured Hyphomicrobiales bacterium
Lineage: Bacteria; Pseudomonadati; Pseudomonadota; Alphaproteobacteria; Hyphomicrobiales
Description: bacterial SSU rRNA
Rfam family: Bacterial small subunit ribosomal RNA
Source: RNAcentral